UUUUCUCUUCCAACUGAUGUGAUGUAGCAAGAUGAGCAACAAAAGAAGAAUCCCAAGAUAAUCACGUAAUUAUGUUAGGAGAGAUUCUCAGUUCAAUCUAAUCCUGUCUAAACAGGCUGAAAGAAAUUAGUCACUCAGAAUUAUAUAAAAGGCUCUAUUGAGGACACAGAAAGAAGAGGCCCAUCUGUAAACCAGGAAAAGGACCCUCAUCAAACUGAGCUCUGCCAACACACUGAUCUUGGACUUCCCAGCCUCCAGAAUUUAUACAAGAAAAUAAGGCCGGGUGCGGUGGUUCACGCUU
This is a long non-coding RNA of Homo sapiens (human), 301 nucleotides long. RefSeq lists it as uncharacterized. The record is from RefSeq and is a predicted model, not a curated record. Lineage: Eukaryota; Metazoa; Chordata; Mammalia; Primates; Hominidae. The transcript has 3 exons.